Long non-coding RNA from Megalopta genalis, 957 nucleotides. RefSeq lists it as uncharacterized. The record is from RefSeq and is a predicted model, not a curated record. NCBI's taxonomy places the organism in Eukaryota, Metazoa, Arthropoda, Insecta, Hymenoptera, Halictidae.
UCUAAAAUCUAAAUUAUGCAGACUAUCUUUGUCGGAUCAAAAAGAUUUUUAAUCAUUAAUAAUUUGAAAACAAAGCUGAAAUAUCACUUAUUUCUUGAUUUUUAUGUCACAAUAUUAAAAGAAUCUAUAUAAGUGUUCAUACAAUAUUAGAUAAAUUUUUUUUAAACAAUCUUACCUUACCUGCAUAACAUUAUUUGACCAUGUACAUUACGAACACAUACAGAUCAUUCUUAUGAAGGUGAACUUUUAAUGCUCGUGACUCCGAAAUUUUGGAUCUACACACCAGCAUUCUUGCCGCUUCCGAGAGUUGAUAUUCCUAUUCCUUACAUCGGUCUUGUGGGUGAAAAAGGCCGAAGACAUAGCAUAUAAGAAAUUGAAAUUGUCGGAAGCGCGGCGAUAUUUGAAACGUCAUGGUACAAUUCUCUUUCUGAGAAGACUGUGCGGUUCUGGUUGCGCAGUAAAAUGAUGGGGAUAAGCGCGCCAACUUACAACUUACAGCUUAUUGAUAGAGUUGUACCUACAAGUGUACGCGAGUCGGUAGUAGUAAAUCUUGGCAUAACAGUCUCACCCAUUUGAUCUAUCUGGCUCUUUGUAUAUAAAGUUUACGUUCGAACGAUCGAAUAUGAGAGACAGUCAAACUCCCAGUUAAUCCAUCAAAUUCAAGGAAAAUGUCAUUAAGCAGAGUAUUAAAAACCAUAUCUUUCAAUAUUCUGACAAUGAGAAGGAUAGCUAUAUGGAUAGUCAUUUUAAUUCAACCAGUGGCAGUGAAGAAGAUAACAAAGGUACAUACAAUAAUGUGGUUAAUGAAAAAAAAACAAAGACUAAAGAAAGAUUCCAAAACAGUGGAAGAAUGAGCAUAGAUUCAGACUCUGGGAAUAGUGUCAACAGUACAGUAAAUUCUAUUCAAUUGUCCCUCAGCUUGUAAACAAAAAUGGACAAGUUGGAAAGAAGGGAUAU